RNAcentral lists this ribosomal RNA (561 nucleotides) under Candida viswanathii. RNAcentral's name for it is "partial large subunit ribosomal RNA". It matches the Rfam family "Eukaryotic large subunit ribosomal RNA", at positions 84 to 662 of the family's 3401-position model. The record is from RNAcentral. Lineage: Eukaryota; Fungi; Ascomycota; Pichiomycetes; Serinales; Debaryomycetaceae.
UAGCGGCGAGUGAGCGGCAAAAGCUCAAAUUUGAAAUCUGGCUCUUUCAGAGUCCGAGUUGUAAUUUGAAGAAGGUAUCUUUGGGCCUGGCUCUUGUCUAUGUUUCUUGGAACAGAACGUCACAGAGGGUGAGAAUCCCGUGCGAUGAGAUGACCCAGGUCCGUGUAAAGUUCCUUCGACGAGUCGAGUUGUUUGGGAAUGCAGCUCUAAGUGGGUGGUAAAUUCCAUCUAAAGCUAAAUAUUGGCGAGAGACCGAUAGCGAACAAGUACAGUGAUGGAAAGAUGAAAAGAACUUUGAAAAGAGAGUGAAAAAGUACGUGAAAUUGUUGAAAGGGAAGGGCUUGAGAUCAGACUUGGCAUUUUGCAUGUUGCUUCUUCGGGGGCGGCCUCUGCGGUUUGUCGGGCCAGCAUCAGUUUGGGCGGCAGGACAAUCGCGUGGGAAUGUGGCACGGCCUCGGCUGUGUGUUAUAGCCCGCGUGGAUACUGCCAGCCUAGACUGAGGACUGCGGUUUAUACCUAGGAUGUUGGCAUAAUGAUCUUAAGUCGCCCGUCUUAAAAAAA